AGUGAAGAGGAAAGAGCUCAAAGUUGGAAACUGUUUGGCUUAGCUAAACCGUAUUGUAAACUGUAGAAACAUUUUCCUGGCACACCAGAUUAAUAAGUCCUUUGGAACAAGGCAUCAUGGAGGGUGAGAAUCCCGUCUUUGAUCUGAGUAGUUGUCUUUUGUGAUAUGUUUUCAAAGAGUCAGGUUGUUUGGGAAUGCAGCCUAAAUUGGGUGGUAAAUCUCACCUAAAGCUAAAUAUUUGCGAGAGACCGAUAGCGAACAAGUACCGUGAGGGAAAGAUGAAAAGAACUUUGAAAAGAGAGUUAAACAGUAUGUGAAAUUGUUAAAAGGGAACCGUUUGGAGCCAGACUGGUUUGACUGUAAUCAACCUAGAAUUCGUUUUGGGUGCACUUGCAGUCUAUACCUGCCAACAACAGUUUGAUUUGGAGGAAAAAAUUAGUAGGAAUGUGGCCUCUCGAGGUGUUAUAGCCUACUAUCAUACUCUGGAUUGGACUGAGGAACGCAGCGAAUGCCUUUAGGCGAGAUUGCUGGGUGCUUUCGCUAAUAAAUGUUAGAAUUUCUGCUUCGGGUGGUGCU
RNAcentral lists this ribosomal RNA (576 nucleotides) under Mucor velutinosus. RNAcentral describes it as "eukaryotic LSU rRNA". It matches the Rfam family "Eukaryotic large subunit ribosomal RNA", at positions 92 to 630 of the family's 3401-position model. Lineage: Eukaryota; Fungi; Mucoromycota; Mucoromycetes; Mucorales; Mucoraceae. The record is from RNAcentral.